ACCCGCUGAACUUAAGCAUAUCAAUAAGCGGAGGAAAAGAAACCAACAGGGAUUGCCUUAGUAACGGCGAGUGAAGCGGCAAUAGCUCAAAUUUGAAAGCUGGCCCCUUCGGGGUCCGCGUUGUAAUUUGUAGAGGAUGAUUCGGCGAGGGCUCCCGUCUAAGUCCCUUGGAACAGGGCGUCAUAGAGGGUGAGAAUCCCGUAUGUGAUGGGCUGCCUUAGCCAUGUGAAUCUCCUUCGACGAGUCGAGUUGUUUGGGAAUGCAGCUCUAAAUGGGAGGUAAAUUUCUUCUAAAGCUAAAUACCGGCCAGAGACCGAUAGCGCACAAGUAGAGUGAUCGAAAGAUGAAAAGCACUUUGGAAAGAGAGUUAAAAAGUACGUGAAAUUGUUGAAAGGGAAGCGCUUGCAGCCAGACUUGUCCGCAGUUGCUCAGCUUGUCUCCUGACAGGCGUACUCUUCUGCGGCCAGGCCAGCAUCAGUUCGGGCGGUCGGAUAAAGGCCCGGGGAAUGUAGCUCCUCUCGGGGAGUGUUAUAGCCCCGGGUGCAAUGCGGCCAGCCUGGACUGAGGAUCUCGCUUCGGCUAGGAUGCUGGCGUAAUGGCUGUAAGCGGCCCGUCUUGAAACACGGACCAAGGAGUCUAACAUCUAUGCGAGUGUUUGGGUGUCAAACCCAUGCGCGUAAUGAAAGUGAACGGAGGUGGGAACCCUCACGGGUGCACCAUCGACCGAUCCUGAUGUCUUCGGAUGGAUUUGAGUAAGAGCAUAGCUGUUGGGACCCGAAAGAUGGUGAACUAUGCCUGAAUAGGGUGAAGCCAGAGGAAACUCUGGUGGAGGCUCGCAGCGGUUCUGACGUGCAAAUCGAUCGUCAAAUUUGGGUAUAGGGGCGAAAGACUAAUCGAACCAUCUAGUAGCUGCUCCAAAGGGAGUCCU
This 928-nucleotide ribosomal RNA is filed under the name Neofusicoccum mangiferae. RNAcentral's name for it is "partial large subunit ribosomal RNA". It matches the Rfam family "Eukaryotic large subunit ribosomal RNA", at positions 23 to 970 of the family's 3401-position model. The record is from RNAcentral. Lineage: Eukaryota; Fungi; Ascomycota; Dothideomycetes; Botryosphaeriales; Botryosphaeriaceae.